RNAcentral lists this ribosomal RNA (232 nucleotides) under uncultured bacterium. RNAcentral's name for it is "partial 16S ribosomal RNA". It matches the Rfam family "Bacterial small subunit ribosomal RNA", at positions 524 to 755 of the family's 1533-position model. The record is from RNAcentral.
UACGAAGGGGGCUAGCGUUGUUCGGAAUGACUGGGCGUAAAGGGCGCGUAGGCGGCGAUCUUAGUCAGGCGUGAAAGCCCUGGGCUUAACCUAGGAAUUGCGCUUGAUACUGGGUUGCUAGAGUGCGGGAGAGGAUGGUGGAAUUCCCAGUGUAGAGGUGAAAUUCGUAGAUAUUGGGAAGAACACCGGUGGCGAAGGCGGCCAUCUGGACCGUUACUGACGCUGAGGCGCG